GUGGGGGGGCUGGGAGGCCCCCUGGGAGCCGGGACCCCCCCCGGGACAGGGGGACGAGCCCAGCGAGAGUCUGGUCCUGCACAAAGGCACGCCAGGCUUCGCCCUCCUGCUGGCCCGUGACACCCCCCACCCCCCGCUGCUGGGGGGUCCCAGCCCCCUCACCGCGCCCCCCGCCCCCCCCCCCC
Neopelma chrysocephalum (saffron-crested tyrant-manakin) is the source of this 185-nucleotide long non-coding RNA. RefSeq lists it as uncharacterized. The record is from RefSeq and is a predicted model, not a curated record. NCBI's taxonomy places the organism in Eukaryota, Metazoa, Chordata, Aves, Passeriformes, Pipridae. The transcript has 3 exons.